AGUGAACGCUGGCGGCAGGCCUAAUACAUGCAAGUCGAACGGCAGCACAGCAGAGCUUGCUCUGUGGGUGGCGAGUGGCGGACGGGUGAGGAAUACAUGGGAAUCUGCCCAGUCGUGGGGGAUAACGUAUGGAAACGUACGCUAAUACCGCAUGCGCCCUAUGGGGGAAAGUCGGGGACCGCAAGGCCUGACGCGAUUGGAUGAGCCCAUGUUCGAUUAGCUAGUUGGCGGGGUAAAGGCCCACCAAGGCGACGAUCGAUAGCUGGUCUGAGAGGAUGAUCAGCCACACUGGAACUGAGACACGGUCCAGACUCCUACGGGAGGCAGCAGUAGGGAAUAUUGGACAAUGGGGGCAACCCUGAUCCAGCCAUGCCGCGUGAGUGAAGAAGGCCCUCGGGUUGUAAAGCUCUUUUGUCCGGAAAGAAAAGCAUCUGGUUAAUACCCGGGUGUUCUGACGGUACCGGAAGAAUAAGCACCGGCUAACUUCGUG
RNAcentral lists this ribosomal RNA (490 nucleotides) under uncultured bacterium. RNAcentral's name for it is "bacterial SSU rRNA". It matches the Rfam family "Bacterial small subunit ribosomal RNA", at positions 29 to 507 of the family's 1533-position model. The record is from RNAcentral.